UUUGGCUGGAUCGGAUACAGGUGCUGCAUGGCUGUCGUCAGCUCGUGUCGUGAGAUGNUGGGUUAAGUCCCGCAACGAGCGCAACCCUCGCCCUUAGUNGCCAGCAUUUAGUUGGGCACUCUAGGGGGACUGCCGGUGAUAAGCCGGAGGAAGGUGGGGAUGACGUCAAGUCCUCAUGGCCCUUACGGGCUGGGCUACACACGUGCUACAAUGGUAGUGACAAAGGGCAGCGAGAUCGCGAGGUCGAGCUAAUCUCCAAAAGCUAUCUCAGUUCGGAUUGUUCUCUGCAACUCGAGAGCAUGAAGUUGGAAUCGCUAGUAAUCGCAGAUCAGCAUGCUGCGGUGAAUACGUUANCCGGGCCUUGUACACACCGCCCGUCACACCAUGGGAGUUGGUUCUACCCGAAGGCGAUGCGCUAACCGUAAGGGGGCAGUCGAACCACGGUAGGGUCAGCGAGCUG
RNAcentral lists this ribosomal RNA (460 nucleotides) under uncultured Alphaproteobacteria bacterium. RNAcentral's name for it is "bacterial SSU rRNA". It matches the Rfam family "Bacterial small subunit ribosomal RNA", at positions 1018 to 1478 of the family's 1533-position model. Lineage: Bacteria; Pseudomonadati; Pseudomonadota; Alphaproteobacteria. The record is from RNAcentral.